CGCGUAGGUGGUCUGUUAAGUCGGAUGUGAAAGCCCCGGGCUCAACCUGGGAACUGCACCCGAUACUGGCAGACUAGAGUGCGGGAGAGGGAGGUAGAAUUCCACGUGUAGCGGUGAAAUGCGUAGAUAUGUGGAGGAAUACCAGUGGCGAAGGCGGCCUCCUGGCUCGACACUGACACUGAGGUGCGAAAGCGUGGGGAGCAAACA
RNAcentral lists this ribosomal RNA (207 nucleotides) under uncultured bacterium. RNAcentral's name for it is "partial 16S ribosomal RNA". It matches the Rfam family "Bacterial small subunit ribosomal RNA", at positions 568 to 774 of the family's 1533-position model. The record is from RNAcentral.